CACUUGGGAUUGAGAAGAAGCA
RNAcentral lists this microRNA (22 nucleotides) under Gallus gallus (chicken). Its description in RNAcentral is "gga-miR-6711-5p". Lineage: Eukaryota; Metazoa; Chordata; Aves; Galliformes; Phasianidae. The record is from miRBase by way of RNAcentral.